AUAAAGUGCGUCGUAGUCCGGAUUGGAGUCUGCAACUCGACUCCAUGAAGUCGGAAUCGCUAGUAAUCGUGGAUCAGAAUGCCACGGUGAAUACGUUCCCGGGCCUUGUACACACCGCCCGUCACACCAUGGGAGUGGGUUGCAAAAGAAGUAGGUAGCUUAACCUUCGGGAGGGCGCUUACCACUUUGUGAUUCAUGACUGGGGUGAAGUCGUAACAAGGUAACCGUAGGGGAACCUGCGGUUGGA
This 247-nucleotide ribosomal RNA is filed under the name Escherichia coli. Its description in RNAcentral is "partial 16S ribosomal RNA". It matches the Rfam family "Bacterial small subunit ribosomal RNA", at positions 1276 to 1522 of the family's 1533-position model. The record is from RNAcentral. Lineage: Bacteria; Pseudomonadati; Pseudomonadota; Gammaproteobacteria; Enterobacterales; Enterobacteriaceae. RNAcentral also lists the same sequence under 3 other names.